Molecule: long non-coding RNA, 650 nt
Organism: Anguilla anguilla (European eel)
Lineage: Eukaryota; Metazoa; Chordata; Actinopteri; Anguilliformes; Anguillidae
Exons: 3
Source: RefSeq, a predicted model, not a curated record
ACUCAGAGGUCACUCUGCCUUCACUGUCGCAGGGAUGCUGUGCUGGAGCAAAAUACCAGAGAGAGAAACCUCAGUUCACUCCCCUGCGCCCAGGCAGAGUUAACUGCACAACAAAAACAUGACGGGCGGCAGUGUAGUACAACGGGCACCUGUGAGCAAUACAACAAUGAGCAGCGCGGGAGCAGGGUAGGGGUGAAGCUGUAAACACCACUGAGCGGACCAGCCAGUCAUUCCUGGAGGCACGUCCCCCCUCCACUGACACGGAAGGAGAGAUACACAACCUUCAAGCCAGAAGAAUGGGGACUUUUCCAGAAGUUAGUCGGACUAGUCGGCAGCCAUUGGACGUCCUCGGUCCCAGCUGCGCAGCCGAAGAUUCGGAAUGACACACAAGGAAGAGGGGGAGGAGAAAGGGCAAGGUUGGAAUAAACCAGUCUUAUCUUUUCAAAUAUAUUUUACAUAUUUUAUGUCUCUUUUUAACAUUGUAUAUUUAACCUUAUCGUGACCACUAUUUUUAGCUAUUUUUUACGUACUGUAUUUAUACAUUCCAGUGUAUGUUAAUUGUCUGCUGCUCUCUGUCCUUUUUUAGGAAAGCACUUCCAGUGCGCUUUGUGUAAAGCACUGUGAAAAUUACGCUAAUGUAUCAAAAUCUG